CCUACGGGAGGCAGCAGUGAGGAAUAUUGGUCAAUGGGCGAGAGCCUGAACCAGCCAAGUCGCGUGAGGGAGUACUGCCCUAUGGGUUGUAAACCUCUUUUGUCGGGGAGCAAAAGCCGGACGUGUCCGGCUGUGAGAGUACCCGAAGAAAAAGCAUCGGCUAACUCCGUGCCAGCAGCCGCGGUAAUACGGAGGAUGCGAGCGUUAUCCGGAUUUAUUGGGGUUAAAGGGUGCGCAGGCGGAUUUUGAAGUCAGCGGUCAAAUCGUGGGGCUCAACCCCAUCCAGCCGUUGAAACUGGGGAUCUAGAGUGUGCGAGAGGUAUGCGGAAUGCGUGGUGUAGCGGUGAAAUGCAUAGAUAUCACGCAGAACCCCGAUUGCGAAGGCAGCAUACCGGUGCACAACUGACGCUCAGGCACGAAAGCGUGGGUAUCGAACAGGAUUAGAUACCCUUGUAGUC
Molecule: ribosomal RNA, 458 nt
Filed under: uncultured bacterium
Lineage: Bacteria
Description: partial 16S ribosomal RNA
Rfam family: Bacterial small subunit ribosomal RNA
Source: RNAcentral